RNAcentral lists this ribosomal RNA (534 nucleotides) under uncultured bacterium. RNAcentral describes it as "bacterial SSU rRNA". It matches the Rfam family "Bacterial small subunit ribosomal RNA", at positions 791 to 1319 of the family's 1533-position model. The record is from RNAcentral.
UAGUCCUAGCCGUAAACGAUGGGCACUAAGUAGGGGGCUCCCAAGGCCUCCCUGCCGGAGCUAAUGUGUUAAGUGCCCCGCCUGGGGAGUAUGGUCGCAAGGCUAAAACUCAAAGGAAUUGACGGGGGCUCACACAAGCGGUGGAGCAUGUUGUUUAAUUCGAUGCAACGCGAAGAACCUUACCUGGGCUUGACAUGCAGGUGGUACCAAACCGAAAGGGGCGGGACCCUCUUUGAGGGAGCUUGCACAGGUAUUGCAUGGCUGUCGUCAGCUCGUGUCGUAAGAUGUCUGGUUAAGUCCAAUAACGAGCGCAGCCCUUAUCCUUAGUUACCAGCAUUAAGUUGGGGACUCUAGGGAGACUGCCGGUGUUAAACCGGAGGAAGGCGGGGAUGACGUCAAGUCCUCAUGGCCCUUACGGGUAGGGCUACACACGUACUACAAUGGCAGAUACAAACCGUUUGACAAAGCCGCGAGGUUGAGCUAAUCGGUAAAACACGUGUCCCAGUCCCGGAUUGGAGUCUGCAACUCGACUCC